CCAGGCGGAAGGGCAGUCUUUGGGGGAGGCUGUGACCAGGGCUGCGGCAGCACAACCCAAAUGAGGCGGUGAAUUUUCAGGUCGUUUUCUACGGAUCGGCUCUAGUCCGCCUUCCUGGCCCUUGUUUGGUGGGACCGAAUGGGACAGGGUCAUUUGGAGACCUCGACCUCGAGAGGAUAUUUUAUGAAACAAAACCUAAGAUUACUGUACACAUAUUGACACUAUUCUCAGAGUAAGUGUAGGCCUACCGAUGUCAGUUCCCAGCCAUAAUGCAUACCAGUAACCUUAGCUUCAAAACAAUCAUCAAAGUUCUUGACUUUACAGGCAACCCAGAUUGCAAUCUAAAGAGAUCAGGGCUGGGGGUGUGACUCCCAGAGACCUUGCCUCCCUAUCCCUAGUACUACAAAAGACAGACGGACACAGAGAGGGCAUGUACUCUCAAUGACAGUGGAUGACGCACCUCACUUUACAUCCACUCAUGUACUCAGCUCUGAUUACUGAGCAGCUACUUACUAUGUGCUUCAGGCAUGGGUUAGAGUUCAGGAAUACACGGACCUUCCUUUGAGACAGGGUUCCUGCUUUGGAUGUCACUAUCUGAGCAGAGAGAGGCACAGAGAGGCCAUCACAAUACAAGAUGAUGGGGAUACAGGGACAGAAGAAAGGUUGGAGCUGCCAGACUAAGGCCUUUCCAGCAAAAGUUAAAAGAGUUGGACUCAAACUGGCGAUCCUCCUGCCUCAGCCUCAAGAGUGCUGGGAUUACAGGCGCUAUCAUUCUUACAUAACACAUUGGUCAACUAAACCUAGCCUUGAUCCUUCUGGCCUUCACAGGGCACAGGAUUGGUCACCUCUGCCAACCUAUAUCUCUGGACAAUUAAGGGCAAUUUCUUUGGCCUGAAGGGCAGUUUCUUGCCAAUCAAUCACCAAAUACUGAGUGCCUAUGUCAGUAAUAGCAAACAUUUAUUCAGUAUCAUACUAAAGCACUAAUUUUUCUAAGAGCUCCUUGUCUUCAUUUACAAAUAAAGAGAAUGAGACAUCAGGGAGAUUUAUUCUGCCAGCUAAUAUUGGGUGUUUGUGUGUAUGUGUGUGCUGGAAUUUCAAAAAUUUUUCUGUUUUGGUAUCAGGAAUCGAACCCAGGGCCUCUUUCUUGCCG
RNAcentral lists this long non-coding RNA (1150 nucleotides) under Heterocephalus glaber (naked mole-rat). Its description in RNAcentral is "lncRNA (ENSHGLG00100046942.1)". The record is from RNAcentral. Lineage: Eukaryota; Metazoa; Chordata; Mammalia; Rodentia; Bathyergidae.